Perognathus longimembris pacificus (Pacific pocket mouse) is the source of this 109-nucleotide long non-coding RNA. RefSeq lists it as uncharacterized. The transcript is spliced from 4 exons. The record is from RefSeq and is a predicted model, not a curated record. Lineage: Eukaryota; Metazoa; Chordata; Mammalia; Rodentia; Heteromyidae.
UCUAGAAAUAAAAGGAAUAUAACCUUUAUAUUUUACUCUAUCAAAGUAACUCUUUUGUCAGACAUAUUUCCAUAUUAGUGGUGGAAUACUUGUUGUUCAAAUGGGGGCC